RNAcentral lists this ribosomal RNA (468 nucleotides) under uncultured bacterium. RNAcentral describes it as "partial 16S ribosomal RNA". It matches the Rfam family "Bacterial small subunit ribosomal RNA", at positions 28 to 507 of the family's 1533-position model. The record is from RNAcentral.
GACGAACGCUGGCGGCGUGCUUAACACAUGCAAGUCGAACGGAAAGGCCCUGCUUUUGUGGGGUGCUCGAGUGGCGAACGGGUGAGUAACACGUGAGUAACCUGCCCUUGACUUUGGGAUAACUUCAGGAAACUGGGGCUAAUACCGGAUAGGAGCUCCUGCUGCAUGGUGGGGGUUGGAAAGUUUCGGCGGUUGGGGAUGGACUCGCGGCUUAUCAGCUUGUUGGUGGGGUAGUGGCUUACCAAGGCUUUGACGGGUAGCCGGCCUGAGAGGGUGACCGGCCACCUUGGGACUGAGAUACGGCCCAGACUCCUACGGGAGGCAGCAGUGGGGAAUAUUGCACAAUGGGCGGAAGCCUGAUGCAGCACCGCCGCGUGCGGGAUGACGGCCUUCGGGUUGUAAACCGCUUUCGCCUGUGACGAAGCGUGAGUGACGGUAAUGGGUAAAGAAGCACCGGCUAACUACGUG